RNA transcript from Rattus norvegicus (Norway rat), 5011 nucleotides. It is a transcript of the gene named kinesin family member 7, with no coding region annotated. The record is from RefSeq and is marked validated. NCBI's taxonomy places the organism in Eukaryota, Metazoa, Chordata, Mammalia, Rodentia, Muridae.
CUGACUGCGCCUCCGCCCCCGAGCGCCAGGGCAGGCGGAGUUGCGGGUGAAGGGAGGGAUGUUUGGGGGGCGGGGGUCCCGAUGACGGCAUCGGAGCGCGCCGCGUCGGGGCGCGGACCUGGUCUACGCGUCCCGGGACUGCGCUCGCACCCUGGCAGAUCCCGGAGCCACUCUCUUUAAACAUGGGGCUGGAGGCCCAGAAGCUGUCGGGGGCUGAGGAGGCCCCAGUGAGGGUGGCCCUUCGAGUUCGCCCCUUGCUGCCCAAGGAGCUGCUCCAUGGUCAUCAGAGUUGCCUGCAGGUGGAGCCUGAGCGUGGUCGAAUCACCCUGGGUCGUGACCGCCAUUUUGGAUUCCAUGUGGUACUGGGAGAGGACGCCGGGCAAGAGGCUGUGUACCAGGCUUGCGUGCAGCCCCUCCUCGAGGCUUUCUUUGAGGGCUUCAAUGCCACCGUCUUUGCCUAUGGUCAAACAGGCUCUGGGAAGACGUAUACCAUGGGGGAGGCCAGCGUGGCCUCCCUGCAUGAAGAUGAGCAAGGUAUUAUCCCAAGGGCCAUGGCUGAGGCCUUCAAGCUCAUCGAUGAGAAUGACCUGCUGGACUGCCUGGUACACGUAUCCUACCUGGAACUGUACAAGGAAGAGUUCCGAGAUCUGCUCGAAGUGGGCACUGCCAGCCGGGACAUCCAGCUUCGGGAAGAUGAUCGGGGAAAUGUUGUGCUCUGUGGGGUGAAAGAAGUGGACGUGGAAGGCCUGGACGAGGUGCUGAGCCUCCUGGAGAUGGGCAACGCUGCGCGGCACACAGGAGCCACACACUUCAACCGCCUCUCCAGCCGCUCGCACACAGUCUUCACUGUGACCCUGGAGCAGAGAGGACGGGCUCCUACCCGCUUGCCUCGACCUGGCGCUGGCCACCUGCUGGUCUCUAAAUUCCACUUCGUGGACCUGGCAGGCUCUGAGAGGGUUCUGAAGACCGGCAGCACCGGCGAACGGCUCAAAGAGAGCAUCCAGAUUAACAGUACCCUGCUGGCCCUGGGAAAUGUCAUUAGUGCUCUGGGAGACCCCCAGCGCCGAGGCAGCCACAUCCCUUACCGUGACUCCAAGAUCACCCGGAUCCUCAAAGACUCUCUGGGAGGGAAUGCCAAGACAGUGAUGAUCGCCUGCGUCAGCCCCUCCUCCUCCGACUUCGAUGAAACCCUUAACACCCUAAACUACGCCAGCCGUGCCCAGAACAUCCGCAAUCGUGCCACAGUCAACUGGCGUCCAGAAGCCGAGCGUGUCCCUGAGGAACAGGCGGCGGGUGCGCGCGGGCCGCCGCGACACCGCUCGGAGACGCGCAUCAUCCACCGUGGCCGGCGCGUGCUCUGCCCAGGGGUGGGCUCCGCGGCAGUCGCUCCGGGGCUGGGCACUGAGUGCGCGCGCUGCCGGGCCCGCACCAGCGCCGCCUACAGCCUCCUGCGAGAGCUGCAGGCCGAGCCUGGGCUACCGGGCGCUGCUGCCCGCAAAGUGCGGGACUGGCUGUGCGCGGUGGAGGGUGAACGCAGCGCCCUGAGCUCUGCCUCUGGGCCCGACAGCGGCAUCGAAAGCGCUCCAGCUGAUGACCAGGCGGCACAGGGGACCAGCGGGAGAAAGGGAGAUGAGGGGGCCCAGCAGCUGUUGAUCCUGCAGAGCCAAGUGGCCCGGCUAGAGGAGGAGAAUCGAGACUUCCUGGCGGCUUUGGAGGACGCCAUGGAGCAGUACAAACUGCAGAGCGACCGCCUGCGGGAGCAGCAGGAAGAGAUGGUGGAACUUCGGCUACGCCUAGAGCUGGCACAGCCUGGCUGGGGAGCACCGGGGCUCCUGCAGGGCCUGUCACCAGGAUCCUUCGUACCCCGGCCUCACACAGCCCCCCUGGGGGGUGCCCACACUCACAUGACGGGCACGAUGCCCCGGACAUGUCUCCCUGGAGAAGAAGUUAGUUCUGAGCAGCAGGUGGCGAAUGGCAAGGAAGCCAAGGCGGAGUUGUUGGCCCAGGUGGACAAGCUGGGCAGUGCCUCCUCCACUACAUCAGAGGAGGAAGAGGAGGAGGAGGAGGAGCCACCCAGGAGGACCUUACACCUGCGCAGGAAUGGAAUCAGCAACUGGAGUCAGAGGGCAGGGGUGCGUCCUGGGAGCCCACCUGACAGGAAGGGCCCAGAGGUCUGCCCAGAAGAGCCAGCUGCUGCCAUCCCAGCACCACAAGCAGUCGGUGGUAGCAAGGCCCCGGGUCAGACCCGCCAGGCCCCAGCUGCCAUGGCCUCCGAGUGGCGACUGGCCCAGGCCCAGCAGAAGAUCCGGGAACUGGCCAUCAACAUCCGCAUGAAGGAGGAGCUCAUUGGUGAGCUGGUCCGCACAGGGAAGGCGGCCCAGGCCCUGAACCGCCAGCACAGCCAACGCAUUCGGGAGCUGGAGCAGGAGGCCGAGCGAGUGCGGGGGGAGCUGUGUGAAGGGCAGAGGCAGCUUCGUGAGCUGGAGGGCAGGGAGCCUCAGGAUGCCAGCGAGAGGUCCAGGCUUCAGGAAUUCCGUAAGAGAGUGGCUGCAGCCCAAAGCCAGGUGCAGGUACUGAGGGAGAAGAAGCAGGCAACAGAGCGGCUGGUGUCACUGUCGGCUCAAAGUGAGACUCGGCUACAGGAGCUGGAGAGGAAUGUGCAGCUCAUGCGGCGACAGCAGGGGCAGCUGCAGAGGCGGCUCCGAGAGGAGACAGAGCAGAAGCGGCGUCUAGAGACGGAGAUGAACAAGAGACAGCAUCGUGUCAAGGAGCUGGAGCUGAAGCAUGAGCAACAGCAGAAGAUCCUGAAAAUCAAGACAGAAGAGAUUGCAGCCUUCCAGAGGAAUAGACGCAGUGGCAGCAAUGGCUCUGUGGUGAGCCUGGAGCAGCAGCAGAAAAUUGAGGAGCAGAAGAAGUGGCUGGACCAGGAGAUGGAAAAGGUGCUACAGCAGCGGCGGGCGCUGGAGGAGUUGGGAGAGGAGCUCCGCAAGCGGGAGGUCAUUCUGGCUAAGAAGGAGGCCCUGAUGCAGGAGAAGACUGGACUAGAGAGCAAGCGCAUGAGGUCUAGCCAGGCCCUAAAUGAAGACAUCGUGCGCGUGUCCAGCCGUCUAGAACACCUGGAGAAGGAGCUAUCUGAGAAGAGUGGUCAGCUGCGGCAAGGCAGCGCCCUGAACCAACAGCAGAUCCGAGGGGAGAUAGACACCCUGCGCCAGGAGAAGGACUCGCUGCUGAAGCAACGCCUGGAGAUCGAUAGCAAGCUGAGGCAGGGAAGCCUGCUGUCACCUGAGGAGGAGAGGACACUGUUCCAGCUGGAUGAAGCCAUAGAGGCCCUGGAUGCUGCCAUCGAGUACAAGAAUGAGGCUAUUACAUGCCGCCAGCGGGUGCUGCGGGCCUCGGCCUCCUUGCUGUCCCAGUGUGAGAUGAAUCUCAUGGCCAAGCUCAGCUACCUUUCUUCCUCAGAGACCAGAGCCCUGCUGUGCAAGUAUUUUGACAAGGUGGUGACUCUCAGAGAGGAGCAACACCAGCAACAGAUUGCCUUCUCGGAGCUGGAGAUGCAGCUGGAGGAGCAGCAGCGGCUGGUGUAUUGGCUGGAGGUGGCCCUGGAGCGGCAGCGCCUGGAGAUGGACCGCCAGCUGACGCUGCAGCAGAAGGAGCAUGAGCAGAACGUGCAGCUGCUCCUUCAGCAGGGUCGAGACCACCUUGGCGAGGGGUUAGCAGACAGCAAGAGGCAAUAUGAGGCCCGGAUUCAAGCUCUGGAGAAGGAACUAGGUCGACACAUGUGGAUAAACCAGGAGCUCAAACAAAAGCUCAGUGCGGGAAACACUGCAGGCCAGAGCCGGGGUUGUGAGAGGAGAAGCCACUGCCUGGAAAAUAGACAAGGCCUUGGAAAUGAAGAUGGGCCCCAUGUAGCAGCUCAGGAACCUCUCUGGCCAUCUUCCCUUCUGGAAGGGGCACCCCGUGUGUGGGAUGAGUCCCGGGACUUGGUCCACGCCCCGCUACCUCUGACAUGGAAACGCUCAAGCUUGUGCAGUGAACAGGGCUCCUCUGAGGAGCCUAGGGCACGGGAAACAACAGAACCCCCAGUAGGGCGGGUGCUACCCAUGGGUGAAGUGAGCCUCUCCUGGAACUUUGGACCCUUGCCUAAGCCUCGGUGGGAACCCCGAAGAACCAGCCCAGGGAUGAUCGACGUCAGGAAAAACCCCUUGUAGGCUUUGAUCAGACCUUGAUUCCAGUCCUGCUGAGAGGAAAGGCUGCCUGUUUUGCUUCUCUGAAGGACAGUCCUUACCUCACACUGUAUAUACAGUCUCAUCUUUACAUCAAUUGGAGUCAGCAAAUAUGGGCCACACCCAAAAGAAUUAGCCUUUCCCUACUACGUUGUUUACCUCAAAGUGAACACAUCUCUGAGAGGAGAAAUGGGAGUUUUCAGUUGGAAUCUGACAACAGGAAUAUCUCUGAGACCACAACAGGGUUGAAUCUUCUGGGGAGACUGAGAAGUCAACAGACCUACACUUGACAGCCAGGCCUCAUUACCUGACUUCUGCUGGGAGGAGUGGAUUCUUUGCACACUUCGAGACUUUGGCUGAGAUACAGAAUAGAAGGAGCCAGAAUUUGUUCUGCUAAAUGACAGCUGCUUGAUUCGAGGACUUCUUCUCAAAAUCAUCUCUGAAAAACCGGAAGCAGAGCUGGAGACUCUUCAACUACAUGAAUAUCAGGACCAGGAUCAGAAGACCUUAAAGAGCAACCAGCACAGAGUCAAUGCACUCAUGACUGGGCAGGCCGGCUCAGGAGGUAAAGGUGUUUGUGCCAAGCCCAACAACCAGAGCUAUAUCUCCAGAACCCAAACGACAGAAGGACAGAACCAAUUCUAAAAACUAUCCUCAACCUCCACAUGCACUGUUGUGCAAGUACACACACACACACACACACACACACACACAACUCCCCUUCUCUUCCUCUCUCUUAAAAUAUAAAAAGCAACAACAAAACACAUUAAAGAUAGAAAAUAUUUGAA